RNAcentral lists this ribosomal RNA (401 nucleotides) under uncultured Corticiales. Its description in RNAcentral is "eukaryotic LSU rRNA". The stretch from base 346 to 401 matches the Rfam family "Eukaryotic large subunit ribosomal RNA", at positions 1 to 56 of the family's 3401-position model. The record is from RNAcentral. Lineage: Eukaryota; Fungi; Basidiomycota; Agaricomycetes.
UGAUGUGUACGUGAAUCAUCGAAUCUUUGAACGCAUCUUGCACUUCUCAGGUCUCCUGAGAAGUAUACUUGUUUGAGUAUCAUAAACACUAAUCUCCAAGGAAGUAAUUCUUUGAAGGAAUUGAGGUUUUCAAAUUGCUUUAUUUGUGAUUUGUGCCUUUUAAUGUAUAUGUGAAAUUGGCAAUUUUCUUUGUAAAAAGAAAGAGACCCUUAUAAUCAAAUGUGAGAUAACUAUCGCACAAAGUAGUUUUUAGGGAAGUCAAACUUGUUCACUACGCCUCGGCGUCCAUAAGGCACCUCCUAUAUUUUAUUAUAUAAGGUUUUUUGUGGGCUCCACUUUGAACAUUGAUCUCAAAUCAAGUAAGACUACCCGCUGAACUUAAGCAUAUCAAUAAGCGGAGG